This 220-nucleotide ribosomal RNA is filed under the name uncultured fungus. Its description in RNAcentral is "partial small subunit ribosomal RNA". It matches the Rfam family "Eukaryotic small subunit ribosomal RNA", at positions 633 to 863 of the family's 1831-position model. Lineage: Eukaryota; Fungi. The record is from RNAcentral.
GAGGUCAGCUUAUGGUCCGUGGUAUUUGCCAUGUGUACUAUUUUAGUCUGACCUCAUCCUUGUAGUGAAUAUAUCUGGCAUUUAGUUGUCGGGUAUAGGAGCUGCAUCGUUUACUGUGAAAAAAUUAGAGUGUUUAAAGCAGGCUUAUGCCGUGAAUACAUUAGCAUGGAAUGAUAUUAUAGGACUUUGGUACUAUUUUAUUGGUUUGCAUAUCAGAGUA